GGAGGAAGGUGGGGAUGACGUCAAGUCCUCAUGGCCCUUACGUGUUGGGCUACACACGUGCUACAAUGGUAUCUACAACAGGAAGCAAGACUGCGAGGUCAAGCAAAUCCUUAAAAGAUACCUCAGUUCGGAUUGCACUCUGCAACUCGAGUGCAUGAAGCUGGAAUUACUAGUAAUCGUGGAUCAGCGUGCCACGGUGAAUGCGUUCCCGGGUCUUGUACACACCGCCCGUCACACCAUGGGAGUUGGUUCUACCUUAAGGCAAGGUUUCAAACCCUUGACCACGGUAUAGUCAGCGACUGGGGUGAAGUCGUAACAAGGUAAA
This 325-nucleotide ribosomal RNA is filed under the name uncultured bacterium. RNAcentral describes it as "bacterial SSU rRNA". It matches the Rfam family "Bacterial small subunit ribosomal RNA", at positions 1165 to 1500 of the family's 1533-position model. The record is from RNAcentral.